RNAcentral lists this ribosomal RNA (895 nucleotides) under uncultured bacterium. RNAcentral describes it as "bacterial SSU rRNA". It matches the Rfam family "Bacterial small subunit ribosomal RNA", at positions 505 to 1401 of the family's 1533-position model. The record is from RNAcentral.
GUNCCAGCAGCCGCGGUAAUNCGNAGGGUGCAAGCGUUAAUNGGAAUUACUGGGCGUAAAGCGCACGCAGGCGGUCUGUCAAGUCGGAUGUGAAGUCCCCGGGCUUAACCUGGGAACUGCAUUCGAAACUGGCAGGCUAGAGUCUUGUAGAGGGGGGUAGAAUUCCAGGUGUAGCGGUGAAAUGCGUAGAGAUCUGGAGGAAUACCGGUGGCGAAGGCGGCCCCCUGGACAAAGACUGACGCUCAGGUGCGAAAGCGUGGGGAGCAAACAGGAUUAGAUACCCUGGUAGUCCACGCCGUAAACGAUGUCGACUUGGAGGUUGUUCCCUUGAGGAGUGGCUUCCGGAGCUAACGCGUUAAGUCGACCGCCUGGGGAGUACGGCCGCAAGGUUAAAACUCAAAUGAAUUGACGGGGGCCCGCACAAGCGGUGAGCAUGUGGUUUAAUUCGAUGCAACGCGAAGAACCUUACCUACUCUUGACAUCCAGAGAACUUAGCAGAGAUGCUUUGGUGCCUUCGGGAACUCUGAGACAGGUGCUGCAUGGCUGUCGUCAGCUCGUGUUGUGAAAUGUUGGGUUAAGUCCCGCAACGAGCGCAACCCUUAUCCUUUGUUGCCAGCGGGUUAUGCCGGGAACUCAAAGGAGACUGCCAGUGAUAAACUGGAGGAAGGUGGGGAUGACGUCGAGUCAUCAUGGCCCUUACGAGUAGGGCUACACACGUGCUACAAUGGCGCAUACAAAGAGAAGCGACCUCGCGAGAGCAAGCGGACCUCAUAAAGUGCGUCGUAGUCCGGAUCGGANNNUGCAACUCGANUCCGUGAAGUCGGAAUCGCUCGUAAUCGUAGACCAGAAUCCUNCGGUGAAUACGUUCCCGGGCCUNCCCACGCCGCCANNUAGG